Molecule: small RNA, 77 nt
Filed under: Flavobacterium sp. 245
Lineage: Bacteria; Pseudomonadati; Bacteroidota; Flavobacteriia; Flavobacteriales; Flavobacteriaceae
Description: Flavo-1 RNA
Rfam family: Flavo-1 RNA
Source: RNAcentral
GCCUAGCCCCGAUAGUAAUGAAAUCCUUUUAUGCCGGUGUUCGGCAUAAAAGAUUGGAAUGAAUAGCGGGACAAAAC